GCCGCGUGAGUGAGGAAGGCCUUCGGGUUGUAAAGCUCUGUCAGAUGGGAAGAACAGCAGUUGGUCCAAUAGGCCAUCUGUUUGACGGUACCUUCAAAGGAAGCACCGGCUAACUUCGUGCCAGCAGCCGCGGUAAUACGAAGGGUGCAAGCGUUGUUCGGAUUUACUGGGCGUAAAGCGCGCGCAGGCGGAUUGAUAAGUCAGAUGUGAAAUCUCGGGGCUCAACCCCGAAACUGCGUCUGAAACUGUUGAUCUAGAGUUAUGUAGGGGAGAAGGGAAUUUCGCAUGUAGGGGUAAAAUCCGUARAGAUGCGAAGGAACACCAGAGCCGAAGGGGCUUCUCUGGGCAUACACUGACGCUGAGGCGCGAAAGCGUGGGUAGCAAACAGGAUUAGAUACCCUGGUAGUCCACGCCGUAAACGAUGAGUACUAGAUUUUGGGGCCUUUGACCGCUUCAGAGUCGCAGCUAACGCAUUAAGUACUCCGCCUGGGAAGUACGGUCGCAAGACUAAAACUCA
This 517-nucleotide ribosomal RNA is filed under the name uncultured bacterium. RNAcentral's name for it is "bacterial SSU rRNA". It matches the Rfam family "Bacterial small subunit ribosomal RNA", at positions 396 to 903 of the family's 1533-position model. The record is from RNAcentral.